GCCCUUAUCCGCGGCCGCUGCAGAGUUUGAUCCUGGCUCAGAGCGAACGCUGGCGGCGUGCCUAACACAUGCAAGUCGAGCGGACUAUAGGAAGGGGUAACUCUUUCUAUAGUUAGCGGCGAACGGGUGAGUAACACGUGGGUAACCUGCCCUUAGGAAGGGGAUAACUCGGGGAAACCUGAGCUAAUACCCUAUAAGACCACGAGCUGAAAGGCUUGUGGUAAAAGGAGAAAUCCACCUAAGGAUGGGCCCGCGGCCUAUCAGGUAGUUGGUAGGGUAAUGGCCUACCAAGCCUAUGACGGGUAGCCGAGCUGAGAGGCUGGCCGCCCACACUGGGACUGAGACACGGCCCAGACUCCUACGGGAGGCAGCAGUGGGGAAUAUUGGGCAAUGGGCGAAAGCUGACCCAGCGACGCGCGUGGGGGAAGAAGGCUUCGGGUUGUAAACCCUUUUGCAGGGGACGACACAGGACGGUACCUGCGAAUAAGCCGCGGCUAACUGUGUUGCCAGCAGCCGCGGUAAGACAGAGGUGGCAAGCGUUGCUGCGGUUCA
RNAcentral lists this ribosomal RNA (552 nucleotides) under uncultured bacterium. RNAcentral describes it as "bacterial SSU rRNA". It matches the Rfam family "Bacterial small subunit ribosomal RNA", at positions 1 to 553 of the family's 1533-position model. The record is from RNAcentral.